RNAcentral lists this long non-coding RNA (383 nucleotides) under Eucalyptus grandis. RNAcentral's name for it is "long non-coding RNA (EGRA_LNC007860)". The record is from RNAcentral. Lineage: Eukaryota; Viridiplantae; Streptophyta; Magnoliopsida; Myrtales; Myrtaceae.
CCACACACGAGUAAUUUCAUGUGAAUUUCUAAUACGAAGAAAAAGGCCAGGCUCACCAUUUUAAUUGAAGCAUUUGAGUGCAAUGCACGGUGUCCUGGGCCAUAUUUGAGUGAUCGUGUGAUGGUUAUGAGAAAUCGUCCCGGGCUGUUGAGCUGGACGUUAUCCCAAUGUGGGAUACCCCCUGGACAACGGGAAGCCGGUCGCAGUUGAUUCUGGACCCUAUGCUCCUUCGGGAAAGCCGUCUAAUAAAGAGACGUGCCGUGCUCAAUGGGGUGAGACGAAGCCUGGCAAUGCCAAAAGACCGCCGAACUGAGAGUAGGCCGUGCUAUAUGCCGAGAUCAAAAAUUAAGAACGCAUGAUUAAUUGAGUGUGGCGUUUCAAUU